CAAAGUCAUAAGUCUUGAGAGAUUUCUUCCACGUGUCUUUUGAACCUUGUGUAUUUUGGAGGGAAGGUUAGAAAGGGACAGCCCAACUGAAUCCUCACUACCAUCACAUGUCUGUCCAGAAGACACAAGUACAUGCCUGGAUGCCACCAAGAAUUAUUCUGGCUGAGUGAACAAUUAAAAAUGACAUUUAAGAGAAAAUAAUUAAGAUCUAAAUGACAUCUAAAGUUAUGGAGACACUGCAAGUAAUUACCAAAAUGAACUUCAAAUGAAGAACAAUAAAAGCUUAUUUUACUCACA
Non-coding RNA from Oryctolagus cuniculus (rabbit), 297 nucleotides. Lineage: Eukaryota; Metazoa; Chordata; Mammalia; Lagomorpha; Leporidae. The record is from RefSeq and is a predicted model, not a curated record.